AGAGUUUGAUCCUGGCUCAGGAUUAACGCUAGCGGCAGGCCUAAUACAUGCAAGUCGAGGGGCAGCAGGGUGUAGCAAUACAUCGCUGGCGACCGGCGCACGGGUGCGUAACACGUAUGCAACCUUCCCUUAACAGGAGAAUAGCUUUGAGAAAUCAGAAUUAAUACUCCAUAACACUGCAGAGUGGCAUCACUCAGCAA
This 200-nucleotide ribosomal RNA is filed under the name uncultured bacterium. Its description in RNAcentral is "partial 16S ribosomal RNA". It matches the Rfam family "Bacterial small subunit ribosomal RNA", at positions 8 to 201 of the family's 1533-position model. The record is from RNAcentral.